GUGUCAGCCGCCGCGGUAAUACGUAGGGGGCAAGCGUUGUCCGGAUUUAUUGGGCGUAAAGAGCGUGUAGGCGGCUUUACAGGUCCGUUGUGAAAACUCGAGGCUCAACCUCGAGACGCCGGUGGAAACCGUAAAGCUAGAGUCCGGAAGAGGAGAGUGGAAUUCCUGGUGUAGCGGUGAAAUGCGCAGAUAUCAGGAAGAACACCCGUGGCGAAGGCGGCUCUCUGGGACGGUACUGACGCUGAGACGCGAAAGCGUGGGGAGCGAACAGGAUUAGAUACCCUGGUAGUCCACGCCGUAAACGAUGGGUGCUAGGUGUGGGCGGUGUCGACUCCGUCCGUGCCGAAGCUAACGCAUUAAGCACCCCGCCUGGGGAGUACGGCCGCAAGGCUAAA
Molecule: ribosomal RNA, 395 nt
Filed under: uncultured bacterium
Lineage: Bacteria
Description: bacterial SSU rRNA
Rfam family: Bacterial small subunit ribosomal RNA
Source: RNAcentral